UGGGGAAUAUUGCACAAUGGGCGCAAGCCUGAUGCAGCCAUGCCGCGUGUAUGAAGAAGGCCUUCGGGUUGUAAAGUACUUUCAGUCGGGAGGAAGGUGGUAAGGUUAAUAACCUUAUCAAUUGACGUUACCGACAGAAGAAGCACCGGCUAACUCCGUGCCAGCAGCCGCGGUAAUACGGAGGGUGCAAGCGUUAAUCGGAAUUACUGGGCGUAAAGCGCACGCAGGCGGUUGAUUGAGUCAGAUGUGAAAUCCCCGGGCUUAACCCGGGAAUUGCAUCUGAUACUGGUCAGCUAGAGUCUUGUAGAGGGGGGUAGAAUUCCAUGUGUAGCGGUGAAAUGCGUAGAGAUGUGGAGGAAUACCGGUGGCGAAGGCGGCCCCCUGGACAAAGACUGACGCUCAGGUGCGAAAGCGUGGGGAGCGAACAGG
RNAcentral lists this ribosomal RNA (429 nucleotides) under Chloroflexota bacterium. RNAcentral's name for it is "Chloroflexi bacterium partial 16S ribosomal RNA". It matches the Rfam family "Bacterial small subunit ribosomal RNA", at positions 355 to 776 of the family's 1533-position model. The record is from RNAcentral. Lineage: Bacteria; Bacillati; Chloroflexota.